RNAcentral lists this ribosomal RNA (438 nucleotides) under Lomentospora prolificans. RNAcentral's name for it is "Scedosporium prolificans Eukaryotic small subunit ribosomal RNA". It matches the Rfam family "Eukaryotic small subunit ribosomal RNA", at positions 132 to 573 of the family's 1831-position model. Lineage: Eukaryota; Fungi; Ascomycota; Sordariomycetes; Microascales; Microascaceae. The record is from Rfam by way of RNAcentral.
UUACUACAUGGAUAACUGUGGUAAUUCUAGAGCUAAUACAUGCUAAAAAUCCCGACUUCGGAAGGGAUGUAUUUAUUAGAUUAAAAGCCAACGCCCUUCGGGGCUUCCUGGUGAUUCAUAAUAACUUUUCGAAUCGCAUGGCCUUGCGCCGGCGAUGGUUCAUUCAAAUUUCUUCCCUAUCAACUUUCGAUGCGAAGGUAUUGUCUUCGCAUGGUUGCAACGGGUAACGGAGGGUUAGGGCUCGACCCCGGAGAAGGAGCCUGAGAAACGGCUACUACAUCCAAGGAAGGCAGCAGGCGCGCAAAUUACCCAAUCCCGACACGGGGAGGUAGUGACAAUAAAUACUGAUACAGGGCUCUUUUGGGUCUUGUAAUCGGAAUGAGUACAAUUUAAAUCCCUUAACGAGGAACAAUUGGAGGGCAAGUCUGGUGCCAGCAG